Molecule: ribosomal RNA, 252 nt
Filed under: uncultured bacterium
Lineage: Bacteria
Description: partial 16S ribosomal RNA
Rfam family: Bacterial small subunit ribosomal RNA
Source: RNAcentral
UACGGAGGAGGCAAGCGUUAUCCGGAAUUAUUGGGCGUAAAGCGUCCGUGGGUGGAUGACCAAGUCUGCUGUCAAAGGGUGGGGCUUAACCUCAUAAAGGCAGUGGAAACUGGUGAGCUAGAGUGCGGUAGGGGUAAGGGGAAUUCCCAGUGUAGCGGUGAAAUGCGUAGAGAUUGGGAAGAACAUCGGUGGCGAAAGCGCCUUGCUGGGCCUGCACUGACACUGAGGGACGAAAGCUAGGGAGCGAAAGGG